Molecule: small nucleolar RNA, 107 nt
Filed under: Gossypium barbadense (sea-island cotton)
Lineage: Eukaryota; Viridiplantae; Streptophyta; Magnoliopsida; Malvales; Malvaceae
Also listed under: 2 other names
Description: Plant small nucleolar RNA R71
Rfam family: Plant small nucleolar RNA R71
About the family: R71 is a member of the C/D box family of snoRNAs containing the C (UGAUGA) and D (CUGA) box motifs. Multiple nearly identical copies of this snoRNA have been identified in Arabidopsis, and it is thought to function as a 2'-O-ribose methylation guide for 18S ribosomal RNA.
Source: Rfam by way of RNAcentral
AUUCUGUGACAAGGGCACUUUUGUUAUUGUUCUUUAUACCUUUCCCAUGCCUCAUACAAGGACUCAUCAUCCAUUUUUUGGAAAGCAAUGAUCUCAUUCCUCAACUU